Molecule: long non-coding RNA, 4798 nt
Organism: Lotus japonicus
Lineage: Eukaryota; Viridiplantae; Streptophyta; Magnoliopsida; Fabales; Fabaceae
Exons: 3
Source: RefSeq, a predicted model, not a curated record
UUUUCAUCUCCACCGUUCAUCUUAUCUUCUUCUUUUUACUGAUUUCCUGGUUUUUCACCUACUGAUUUCCCGUCUUCUUCUACGUCGCAUGAGUGUACUCUCACCCAUCCAUCACAGCUCAGAGUUUUCUCUCCAAUGUCGUCAUCGUCCGCUGGAUCCUUCUAUUGCUUGCUCAUCCAUGUCUACAACUCAGUUUCUCAUCUGCUCCCGUCAAAUCGCUUCUCUGCUUCAUUCAAUUGCAUCAUCGUCGACGCUUGCCUUCUCUUCCGUGUUCAAGGAGGUUUCGCUCGCCGGAAAUGGGGGAACCAGCCAUAUUUCGACAGCUACCUCCAUUCACUGUUAAUUGAUCAUCCUUCUUUCUAAAUUCCAGUUCUGAGUGCAUUCCCAAGGAGCAAAUCGUGGGUGAGCAAAAUCCUUGGGAAUCACAACAUUGAGAACUCACAUAGCUACUAUCGAGAAGCUUUUGAUGUUGUUGUACUGAAUGAUGCACCCAUCUGGGGAGUUAUCAAACUGGCCUCUCUUCUGUGUUCAAGUGGGAGGUGAUUAUUUUGCAGAAAUCAUGUAUUCUUAGCAGUCUCAUUGUUUUCUUGUCUUGCACAUCCCAGGCCACUCAUUAUUUUCCCUCAUAUUCAGAUUCAAGUGGCCCAUGUGAGUUUCUAUCAUACUUUUUCCCAUAUUUUUAUCUGAUUGUCUCACCCUCUCUCUCUCUCCACGAGAAUUUUUUUAGCUUUAUUAUACAUACCUCACAUUAUAUAGUCUGUUUUGUGAAAUAAUGCGACUAAUAAGUUAUUUGGAAACACUUAUACAGUUCAUUCUAAGGCAAAUGAUGAGACUAAUAGUAUGUUCAAAAUUUUGUCUACAAUUAAUUUUAAAGUUCGAAUCAAUUCCGGAGAGAAGCUUAUAUGAAGAGCUUCUAGAAUAAAAUUGAUUGAUUAUGAAUUGAUCCAAAUAUGCUAUAACUCUGUUUGCACUUGCUCUAUGUUCCAUUCUUUAUGAUACUACUAAGCGAAAGUAAGUUUAACAAGCAUAAAAGUGCAAGUCUGGUGAUAUAAAGCUACAAUUACAGACAAGGUUCGGGGAAUCAAAUCCAUUUUGUGAAUUUAAUGUAGGUUGUCUUUACCUGAAAUCAAAUAUGCAUAGUUGAAUUCUUAUACCAGGUUGAUUACACAACUUGAACUUAUGAACAGAAAGUCACAUUGGAGCAGAUAACAACGAUGCCUCAUAAAAAUGCUUAUUUCUAAGAAGUUAAUUACAAUUGUCUUUCUUUUUCAUUAUUUAGGCUAUUUUGUUUCCAAAAUUUUUUAUUGUUUCAAAUAUGAUUUUCUUUUUUAUUAGUAAGAGGUGUUUGGCCAGUUUGUGCUUUUUGCUUUUGCUGUCAAGGUUCAAAGAAAGGUGCAGUAGGAUGCCAACAGUAUUGUUAUAAGGAUGUAAGAUAGAGAAGAGAAAACAGGAUGAGGUUAGAAAAAAAAACCAACCGGGGUUUCUUUUUUUUUAUCCUGUUUUUCUGUGUUCCUCUUUCUUCCUUUUUCUCACAUAAACUGGUUCAUAAGUUAACUUAAGUUUAAAGGUGCUGUAACAGUUUGAACCAAAAAAACUUUUCCUUUAUUUCUCACUUGCUUCAGUUAAAGCAAAGUGAAUUUUGGUGUUUUUUCCAACCUUCUAUUACACUUCCCUCUUUUCUUCAUCCUCCUUCACCUGCUUCUUGCUCCUCUCUUCUUAUCCUUCUACAACACUUUUCAUUUUCCUGCAUAUUCUCAUCCUUAUUCUGCAGAAUUUUCAUUACCUUAGAUUUGAUUCAUUCUCUAAAACAGCCACAUGUAUGGUAAAGACUUAUUCUCUAGAGCACGAACACUUGAUAACCUGCACUUGAUAGCACCUAGAGCACGAACACUUGAUAACCUGCACUUGAUAGCACCUAGAGCACUAACACUUGAUAAAAUCUUAUAACUUUUAAUUCUUAGAUGGCUUCCUUUUCUAUUUUUGUAAAGUCUUAUUUUCUCUGGUCAAUAAACAUAUUUGAAGGUAUGCUUUUUACCCUUUAAUUUCAUCGUGCAUAUAAUUUCGGUGGUUAAACAUAUGUUAUUGUUCUCAGCUAAUUUUGAAAUUAGUGUGCACAAGUAUAAUUACUAUAUUUUGAGACUAAACCCAUUUUUCUGCAGCAAAGUUUUUUCAAAUUUACAAAAUUAGAAUGAUACCAUUUUUACUUUAAAAUGAUUAAAAAGAUUACUUUGACAUAAAGACAUUGAUCUCUUGCAUUACAUGUGAACUUCUCAACAUGAUAAAGUGAUUGAAGUGGCCAGUCCUCCUUUGUAGCAGUGCCUCACCUACAAUUUACUUUGAUAUGAGCCAAACUGACAGGCUUGAUACAAGUCUAAUCUUUAGUAGCAACCUAUGUUGUCAUUAUUUUAAAACUAAACCAAGCUAUAUCAGUCAUGAAGCAUAUAUACUGGCUUUGACGAUAAAUUAUGAUGAUUUUAGAUUUCUGGUUUUGGAGGUGUCAUACUUAUUUUUCUGUGUUGCCGUUUUUCUGCGAUAGUUUGAGGGGUUGAUUACAGGAGUCAUUUUCAAUGUCGUUUUGUUGGUCCUCAUACUCAAGCGCCUCCUUUGUUUGAUAUUUGUACUCGAGAUUUCUCAAUUUGCUAUUUUUUUCAUCAGUUUUACAAGCUAUGUAUCUUUUUGAUUUUGACAUUCCCUUUUUUUAAAAUAACAAGCGUCUAUUGUUCUUUUUAUAUCACGGAGGCCAUCUAGAUGAUGUUAGAAGAGAAAAAAUUUAAGGAAUGAUUUCAUGUUCUAUUUGUAGAUUUUAUACUAUGAGUAAGCUCUACCACUUCUUUCUUUCUCAGUAUGUGUACAACUAUUGAUUGUAUACAUAUAUUGCAUAGUCUCCAAUCUGUUCUUCGUUUAUGGACUGCAAUGAAAAAUAGCUCUAUUGAUAUGGUUGUUCUGGUACAACAAAAAGUUGGUGAAAAUAUUUUAAAUCUGGCUGCAGACCACAAGGUUUGUGUAACCUGUUUCUUUGCCUUUGUUAUUAUGCAAGGUCUCACUGUGAACAUGAGAAUAACAGCUAAAAGGAAAGUGGAGAACAAAAACUGGAACACAUUGGUUGUGAACUUGUGAAACAUAAUUGAUUGUGAAACAAAAACUAGAAUUGGAUAUUUAACCGCUAUAACGAAAAUUAAAUGUUCUGAAACCACAUUGAAGGUGAUGGAGACUCUGAAUUAUGUACAUGAUGGAUGCCUUACAUGAGGAUUGAAGAUUGUGACUUCGAGAGUUUGAAUGCUACACCAAACACAGAUCAUUAAAGAGCGCAAGAGAAAUGAUGAUACUUCUCAAUCCUUCACAUUUUUAUCUGAAUUAAAUAUUAUAGGUAUUGAUUGCUUAUAUUGCCCUACAUAUUCCAUAGUGCCUGAGAAAAAACUGUAAAUUGUGGUGAUUUUAUUUUGUAAAUCUUUAUUUGAUCAUACUUCAAAGUAUAAGGAAACAAUGUAACUUGAGUAAAAUCUAAGCCACAUUGUUUCUCUACACUUGACAUAUAUUACACAAAAAUUCUUUGAUGUAUGUAAUUUGGGUGAGAUCACAUUGCCAAACUUUUUUUUUUGAGACCUCUAUUGGUUGGCUUGCUAAUGUGCCUUCUUAUUGUGUUCAUGAUCCUUGCACUAUUUUGAAUAUGGAGGCUGAUUUGAUAUGACUUUAUGAUGCCCUUUGUUACACUAAUGCAGUGUAACUUUUAUUAUCUAGAAUCACUUUAAGAUUAUGUGAACUUGCUUUUCAUUCUACUAAUAGUAAUUUAUUUAUUUAAUGCUUUUGUCUAUUGUUUUCUCAUAAGAGCAAUAAAAUAGCUCAAAGAAUAUGUAAGGAAAUUGGUUGACCUGGAGUAGUUCCCGCUAUUGAGGAGAGGGUAUUGGUGAAUUUAAACGGUGAUUCCACAUACAGGACUCAGUAUUUGUUCUCCCUUCACAAUUGAUGAUUUGGUAUUAGAGGGUUCCAUUUCAACAAUUGGUCUGUAUGCCAAUCCUUUUUUCAGGUACCAUUACUGCUUGAUUUGGCGAUAUAAUUAUACUAUGCAACAUAUUGUAGUACACAACUAUAAAGUGAUCUAACUAUUCAAGUUUUUUUUUUCUUUUGUUAUGGCUCUGCAAGGAAUUUGCUUUAAUUAUGUACUUCAUGUUUUGCACACGGCUGGUAAAAAUUAGUUUGAGUAUAUGCAUUUUUUUUAAUAUGAACUUUAUUUACAUGUUUUAAUUACUGAAUUUUCCUAUAUGCACGAACUAACGUGAUUGAAUCUGAUUUUUUGGCUCCUUGCAAAUGUUCUGUCUCAUAAGUUUAACCUCAUUGCUUUUGGCUAUUUAAACACUCACCUACUCUAAUUAAUACCUUUUUUGUGCUCUAAUUUGUGAAUAAUUUAUAUAUGGUAUUUGUAGCAUGGCAUAGAUGCCAUUGAUGAUGUUUUAUACCAUGUUGAAACAUAUGAUGUGACAACAAUUAGAGCAAGCAUGCCCAAAUUUCUAAUGUCUAUGAAGAUUAAAUCACUUUAUGCCAUAUGGAUAAUCUCUGGAGAAGAAUCUGAUGAGGUUUUUUUGUCGGUAUCUGUACUUCCACAAGUCACCUUACAAGGAAGAGUUUCACACAGAAGUAUGCCACAAGGUCAUGGACUUAACAUGUUAUUAAAAUUUCGUGCAACACAUUUUGUAUUGGCAGAAAGAAUAAUUCAGUGAUUAUAUACUUUUGAAGGUUACUUUGGUAGUGAAUGUAUACUUUGGACAUGGCACAUGUUUUUUCAAUGAAAGGAAUUGUAUAA